This 465-nucleotide ribosomal RNA is filed under the name Vreelandella stevensii. RNAcentral's name for it is "partial 16S ribosomal RNA". It matches the Rfam family "Bacterial small subunit ribosomal RNA", at positions 338 to 795 of the family's 1533-position model. Lineage: Bacteria; Pseudomonadati; Pseudomonadota; Gammaproteobacteria; Oceanospirillales; Halomonadaceae. The record is from RNAcentral.
CCUACGGGUGGCAGCAGUGGGGAAUAUUGGACAAUGGGCGAAAGCCUGAUCCAGCCAUGCCGCGUGUGUGAAGAAGGCCUUCGGGUUGUAAAGCACUUUCAGUGGGGAAGAAAGCCUUGGGGCUAAUACCCUCGAGGAAGGACAUCACCCACAGAAGAAGCACCGGCUAACUCCGUGCCAGCAGCCGCGGUAAUACGGAGGGUGCGAGCGUUAAUCGGAAUUACUGGGCGUAAAGCGCGCGUAGGCGGUCUGAUAAGCCGGUUGUGAAAGCCCCGGGCUCAACCUGGGAACGGCAUCCGGAACUGUCAGGCUAGAGUGCAGGAGAGGAAGGUAGAAUUCCCGGUGUAGCGGUGAAAUGCGUAGAGAUCGGGAGGAAUACCAGUGGCGAAGGCGGCCCUCUGGACUGACACUGACGCUGAGGUGCGAAAGCGUGGGUAGCAAACAGGAUUAGAUACCCCGGUAGUC